This 94-nucleotide transfer RNA is filed under the name Gordonia spumicola. Its description in RNAcentral is "tRNA-Lys". Lineage: Bacteria; Bacillati; Actinomycetota; Actinomycetes; Mycobacteriales; Gordoniaceae. The record is from RNAcentral.
UCGUGACCGGAACGGACAGGAGGGGAGUGCCGGCCUUCUUGCGGUCGGCGGCCUCGGGGCCGGUGCCCCACACGAUCGCGUCGUGCGUCACCGC